UAGAGUUUACACAAAAUCUUUUGCUUUCAUGUUUAUUAAGGAAGUGUCAUACUGAUGGAUCCUCUAGGGAAAAAACGAAGAAUACAGUGGCACGAAGUGGGUGUUUCUGAAAGAGAGCAAUCUGCAAAACUCCAUAGAUUCCAGUGGAACCAGAAGCAGAUUUGGAACCAGAAGAUAAAAGGUACAGAGAAUGGCCAUUAAAACCUGGGAAGUCAUGUAGGUGAGUGUAAGAUACAUGCAUGCAU
Molecule: long non-coding RNA, 245 nt
Filed under: Numida meleagris (helmeted guineafowl)
Lineage: Eukaryota; Metazoa; Chordata; Aves; Galliformes; Numididae
Description: lncRNA (ENSNMEG00000019158.1)
Source: RNAcentral